GGGGGGGGGGGGCUACCAUGCAAGUCGAGCGGUAGCACAGAGAGCUUGCUCUCGGGUGACGAGCGGCGGACGGGUGAGUAAUGUCUGGGAAACUGCCUGAUGGAGGGGGAUAACUACUGGAAACGGUAGCUAAUACCGCAUAACGUCGCAAGACCAAAGUGGGGGACCUUCGGGCCUCAUGCCAUCAGAUGUGCCCAGAUGGGAUUAGCUAGUAGGUGGGGUAACGGCUCACCUAGGCGACGAUCCCUAGCUGGUCUGAGAGGAUGACCAGCCACACUGGAACUGAGACACGGUCCAGACUCCUACGGGAGGCAGCAGUGGGGAAUAUUGCACAAUGGGCGCAAGCCUGAUGCAGCCAUGCCGCGUGUAUGAAGAAGGCCUUCGGGUUGUAAAGUACUUUCAGCGGGGAGGAAGGCGAUAAGGUUAAUAACCUUGUCGAUUGACGUUACCCGCAGAAGAAGCACCGGCUAACUCCGUGCCAGCAGCCGCGGUAAUACGGAGGGUGCAAGCGUUAAUCGGAAUUACUGGGCGUAAAGCGCACGCAGGCGGUCUGUCAAGUCGGAUGUGAAAUCCCCGGGCUCAACCUGGGAACUGCAUUCGAAACUGGCAGGCUAGAGUCUUGUAGAGGGGGGUAGAAUUCCAGGUGUAGCGGUGAAAUGCGUAGAGAUCUGGAGGAAUACCGGUGGCGAAGGCGGCCCCCUGGACAAAGACUGACGCUCAGGUGCGAAAGCGUGGGGAGCAAACAGGAUUAGUUUUUUUUUUUCACACAA
RNAcentral lists this ribosomal RNA (770 nucleotides) under Klebsiella pneumoniae. Its description in RNAcentral is "partial 16S ribosomal RNA". It matches the Rfam family "Bacterial small subunit ribosomal RNA", at positions 38 to 802 of the family's 1533-position model. The record is from RNAcentral. Lineage: Bacteria; Pseudomonadati; Pseudomonadota; Gammaproteobacteria; Enterobacterales; Enterobacteriaceae.